UCGCAAUAGCUCUUCUUGAUUCUAUGGGUGGUGGUGCAUGGCCGUUCUUAGUUGGUGGAGUGAUUUGUCUGGUUAAUUCCGAUAACGAACGAGACCUUAACCUGCUAACUAGUUUGCUUCUGAACAAGAGGUAUAACUUCUUAGAGGGACUAUGUGUUUUAAAUACAUGGAAGUUUAAGGCAAUAACAGGUCUGUGAUGCCCCUAGACGUCCUGGGCCGCACGCGCGCUACACUGACAUGUUCAGCGAGCUAUUUUACCUGUCCCGAAAGGGCACGGGAAAUCUUGUUAGGACAUGUCGUGCUGGGGAUAGAUCUUUGCAAUUAUAGAUCUUGAACGAGGAAUUCCUUGUAAGCACAGGUCAUCAGCCUGUGCUGAAUACGUCCCUGCCCUUUGUACACACCGCCCGUCGCUCCUACCGAUUUCGAGUGAUGUGGUGAACUAUCUGGACUGCGGAUGGGCUUGAACCAUUUGCGGGAAGUUUCGUAAACCUUAUCACUUAGAGGAAGGAGAAGUCGUAACAAGGUUUCCGUAGGUGAACCUGCAGAAGGAUCUUUCUUCCAUCAUCACUAUCCGGGUGGCCCAAGCGGCAUCCCGCCCACCGGGUGCCCGGGGUACGUAGUCACUGACUCCCCUCGGUGCUUGUACAUGAAGGGUCUAUUUCCUUUUGAUACCACCAUUUCCCCCGCGGGAUGAAAAAAAAAAGAACGAUCCCUGCCCAA
This 720-nucleotide ribosomal RNA is filed under the name Paramecium caudatum. RNAcentral's name for it is "bacterial SSU rRNA". The stretch from base 1 to 556 matches the Rfam family "Eukaryotic small subunit ribosomal RNA", at positions 1248 to 1831 of the family's 1831-position model. Lineage: Eukaryota; Ciliophora; Oligohymenophorea; Peniculida; Parameciidae. The record is from RNAcentral.